UGUGGCGUAGCUCAGUGCUAGAGUGCUUGUCUAGCAUGUACCAGGUCUUGGGUUUGAUCCCCAACACUGCAA
RNAcentral lists this transfer RNA (72 nucleotides) under Heterocephalus glaber (naked mole-rat). It matches the Rfam family "tRNA". Rfam says of the family: Transfer RNA (tRNA) molecules are approximately 80 nucleotides in length. Their secondary structure includes four short double-helical elements and three loops (D, anti-codon, and T loops). Lineage: Eukaryota; Metazoa; Chordata; Mammalia; Rodentia; Bathyergidae. The record is from Rfam by way of RNAcentral.